This 773-nucleotide ribosomal RNA is filed under the name uncultured Neocallimastigales. RNAcentral describes it as "partial large subunit ribosomal RNA". It matches the Rfam family "Eukaryotic large subunit ribosomal RNA", at positions 24 to 646 of the family's 3401-position model. Lineage: Eukaryota; Fungi; Neocallimastigomycota; Neocallimastigomycetes; Neocallimastigales. The record is from RNAcentral.
GUAGUCUCGCACAGAUGCAUAUCAAUAAGCGGAGGAAAAGAAACUAACAAGGAUUCCCCUAGUAACGGCGAGUGAAGCGGGAAGAGCUCAAAUUUGAAAUCUUAAAGGGUUUCCCUUUACGAAUUGUAGUUUAAAGAAGUGCUUUCUGUUGAGGUUUUGGUAAAAGUUCUUUGGAAUAGGACAUCAUAGAGGGUGAGAAUCCCGUAUUUGACCUUUACUUUCAACUUUGUGAUACACUUUCAAAGAGUCGGAUUGUUUGGGAAUGCAGUCCAAAAUGGGUGGUAAAUUUCAUCUAAAGCUAAAUAUUGGCGAGAGACCGAUAGCGAACAAGUACCGUGAGGGAAAGAUGAAAAGAACUUUGAAAAGAGAGUUAAACAGUACGUGAAAUUGUCAAAAGGGAAGCGUUUGACACCAGUGUUGUUUUUCUGAAAAUCAAUUAAAGAACUGUUUAUGCUAAGCUGUUUAGACUUUAUCAGCUAUCUGUUUAGUUUUGAGCUUUUCUUUAAUGCACUUUUCAGUUAACAAGUCAACAUCAAUUUCUUUUGCUGUAAAAAGCUUGAGGAAGGUGGCUUGAGAUUCGUCUUAAGUGUUUAUAGCCUCUUGCCUAUGCAGUCGGAGAGAUUGAGGUCUGCAGCGUAGAUCCUUCGGGGCUAAAUGCAUUUGUGCUAAGUUAUAGCAUUUUAUAGACAACUUGUUGACUAUGAUUUGUCUUGUAGCUUACUCGCUUAUGUUAUUUUACCUACGCUUAGGAUGUUGACGCAUGAGAUAUACGC